GGGAAGCAAGGGAGGGCUGUGUAUCGCUGUUUACCCUGAAAUUUUCCUGGUUAGUUCCUUCUCGUGUCUCAACAACAGCAAGUAGGACGUGACGUGAGGAAGCCUAGGUGUUGGUGGCUGUGGCUUUGCAUUGUGACGUUCCCGGGACUGCUUGGCGAGGGGCACAAGAUGGUUUGGUCACAUUAUGAGGAUGGAACGAGAGAGGUACCCCGCAAAAUACUACUUGUGGAAGCCAAGAGGAAAGAGACCAGUGGGCAGACCAAGAAAGAGAUUGCAGGAUGGAGUGAAGGAAGCAGUAGAGGCGAGAGGUACAACCAUGGAGAGAGUGGAAAGAGAAAAACUGUAUGAAGAUCGGACGUGGUGGUGAAGUUUCGUGAGGCAUCACAGCUGACAGGGCAUCAGCCCUACCUGGUGUAUGGUGAAAUGCUUGUUUGUCUCAAAAUGGAGAGAAAUGACGGAAGAAAAGAAAUAAGCAGAAGUGGAAGGAAAAGUGCAGUGCCUGGGUGACAGUUAUCACAUUGACACAGCUCAAGCGGUCUGUAUUGUCACGGCGAGCACCGUCAUCUGCAAGGGAAGGUGCCAGUAACAUAAGAAUAGGUGACAAAGAACUUGAAAGAACAGGUGCCAGUGUAUGUAGUAAGUAUCGGCUAUAACUCUUCUCUCCUUUGGCCUGGACACCUUAGGAAGAAAAUGAUGUCUGGAUUUUCGGCUGCCCCCUACUUGAGAACAGCAAGGAUGUUGAAAUGAUAGUGUCAGCACAUGUGAGUUUCUGGCAGGUCAGAAAUCCACCCAAGUGCUGUGCAAGCUCAGCCAUUGAGUGCACUAGGACGAUCCCAUACCCUGCAAGAAGGUUUAGAUGUUGGCUGCAAUCUUUUGCCGCCAGAAGAGAGGGAAGUUACUGCGUUGGUGGGUAAUGGAACUGACAAGGAAUAAAACAUUUCAAAAGGUACUGUUGUGGGCUCCUGUGAGAUGAAUGAGUGCACAGCAGCAAGCAUUAAGCAGUGGGGGCAGUGUACUGGUAACGAACAGUGUGCUGACUCAUCGACAAGGCUUGUUGGGCAUGUGUAUGAGGAAGCUCUCCAUGUGGAAUUGCCAUACUUCUAUGCAGAUGUGUUUCUCAUGAGACUUUCUAGACUGAACUCCACUAGUGAAACAACUCAGACACUGGCAGUAGCCAACCCAUGGAUGAAGCAGCCACCAGGGAAAAUUGGCUCCACUAUGCAGCAGGAAAUGGAGAUACUGGUGAGUGAUAGAGCUCAUUGCCCUGAAUAUUGUUGAGUCCCAGAACCCAGGUCUUUUGCAGUGUCUCUGAUGAAAAAACAAAAAUAAUACAACUAUUGUGUGUUUACUACAAAACCCUGCCUGCCUAAUGGUAAGUGAUUUAAUGAUUCGUAUUCCCAUGUAUCACAUUUCCCUCUCUUACUCACCUUCCCUCCC
This is a long non-coding RNA of Portunus trituberculatus (swimming crab), 1437 nucleotides long. RefSeq lists it as uncharacterized. NCBI's taxonomy places the organism in Eukaryota, Metazoa, Arthropoda, Malacostraca, Decapoda, Portunidae. The transcript has 3 exons. The record is from RefSeq and is a predicted model, not a curated record.